This 490-nucleotide ribosomal RNA is filed under the name uncultured bacterium. Its description in RNAcentral is "partial 16S ribosomal RNA". It matches the Rfam family "Bacterial small subunit ribosomal RNA", at positions 28 to 507 of the family's 1533-position model. The record is from RNAcentral.
GAUGAACGCUAGCUACAGGCUUAACACAUGCAAGUCGCGGGGCAGCAUGGGGGUUGCUUGCAAUCCCCGAUGGCGACCGGCGCACGGGUGAGUAACGCGUAUCCAACCUGCCCUUCACCACGGGAUAGCCCGGCGAAAGUCGGACUAAUACCGUAUGUUGUCCAUUGACGGCAUCCGAUUUGGACGAAAGGUUUGGCGGUGAGGGAUGGGGAUGCGUCCGAUUAGCUGGACGGCGGGGUGACGGCCCACCGUGGCGACGAUCGGUAGGGGUUCUGAGAGGAAGGUCCCCCACACUGGAACUGAGACACGGUCCAGACUCCUACGGGAGGCAGCAGUGAGGAAUAUUGGUCAAUGGGCGUAAGCCUGAACCAGCCAAGUAGCGUGCAGGAUGACGGCCCUAUGGGUUGUAAACUGCUUUUAUGCGGGGAUAAAGUGGCCCACGUGUGGGUUUUUGCAGGUACCGCAUGAAUAAGGACCGGCUAAUUCCGUG